UUAAGCGACUAAGCGUACACGGUGGAUGCCCUGGCAGUCAGAGGCGAUGAAGGACGUGCUAAUCUGCGAAAAGCGUCGGUAAGGUGAUAUGAACCGUUAUAGCCGGCGAUGUCCGAAUGGGGAAACCCAGUGCAAUUCGUUGCACUAUCGUUAACUGAAUACAUAGGUUAACGAGGCGAACCGGGGGAACUGAAACAUCUAAGUACCCCGAGGAAAAGAAAUCAACCGAGAUUCCCCCAGUAGCGGCGAGCGAACGGGGAGCAGCCCAGAGUCUGAAUCAGCUUGUGUGUUAGUGGAACGGUCUGGAAAGUCCGACGGUACAGGGUGAUAGUCCCGUACACCAAAAUGCACAGGCUGUGAACUCGAAGAGUAGGGCGGGACACGUGGUAUCCUGUCUGAAUAUGGGGGGACCAUCCUCCAAGGCUAAAUACUCCUGACUGACCGAUAGUGAACCAGUACCGUGAGGGAAAGGCGAAAAGAACCCCGGCGAGGGGAGUGAAAAAGAACCUGAAACCGUGUACGUACAAGCAGUGGGAGCACCUUCGGGUGUGACUGCGUACCUUUUGUAUAAUGGGUCAGCGACUUAUAUUCUGUAGCAAGGUUAACCGUAUAGGGGAGCCGCAGGGAAACCGAGUCUUAACUGGGCGUUAAGUUGCAGGGUAUAGACCCGAAACCCGGUGAUCUAGCCAUGGGCAGGUUGAAGGUUGGGUAACACUAACUGGAGGACCGAACCGACUAAUGUUGAAAAAUUAGCGGAUGACUUGUGGCUGGGGGUGAAAGGCCAAUCAAACCGGGAGAUAGCUGGUUCUCCCCGAAAGCUAUUUAGGUAGCGCCUCGUGAACUCAUCUUCGGGGGUAGAGCACUGUUUCGGCUAGGGGGUCAUCCCGACUUACCAACCCGAUGCAAACUACGAAUACCGAAGAAUGUUAUCACGGGAGACACACGGCGGGUGCUAACGUCCGUCGUGAAGAGGGAAACAACCCAGACCGCCAGCUAAGGUCCCAAAGUCAUGGUUAAGUGGGAAACGAUGUGGGAAGGCACAGACAGCCAGGAUGUUGGCUUAGAAGCAGCCAUCAUUUAAAGAAAGCGUAAUAGCUCACUGGUCGAGUCGGCCUGCGCGGAAGAUGUAACGGGGCUAAACCAUGCACCGAAGCUGCGGCAGCGACACUAUGUGUUGUUGGGUAGGGGAGCGUUCUGUAAGCCUGCGAAGGUGUGCUGUGAGGCAUGCUGGAGGUAUCAGAAGUGCGAAUGCUGACAUAAGUAACGAUAAAGCGGGUGAAAAGCCCGCUCGCCGGAAGACCAAGGGUUCCUGUCCAACGUUAAUCGGGGCAGGGUGAGUCGACCCCUAAGGCGAGGCCGAAAGGCGUAGUCGAUGGGAAACAGGUUAAUAUUCCUGUACUUGGUGUUACUGCGAAGGGGGGACGGAGAAGGCUAUGUUAGCCGGGCGACGGUUGUCCCGGUUUAAGCAUGUAGGCUGAUUGUCCAGGCAAAUCCGGAUAAUCAAGGCUGAGGUGUGAUGACGAGGCACUACGGUGCUGAAGUAACAAAUGCCCUGCUUCCAGGAAAAGCCUCUAAGCAUCAGGUAACAUUAAAUCGUACCCCAAACCGACACAGGUGGUCAGGUAGAGAAUACCAAGGCGCUUGAGAGAACUCGGGUGAAGGAACUAGGCAAAAUGGUGCCGUAACUUCGGGAGAAGGCACGCUGGUGUGUAGGUGAAGCCCCUGCGGGUGGAGCUGAGACCAGUCGAAGAUACCAGCUGGCUGCAACUGUUUAUUAAAAACACAGCACUGUGCAAACACGAAAGUGGACGUAUACGGUGUGACGCCUGCCCGGUGCCGGAAGGUUAAUUGAUGGGGUUAUCCGUAAGGAGAAGCUCUUGAUCGAAGCCCCGGUAAACGGCGGCCGUAACUAUAACGGUCCUAAGGUAGCGAAAUUCCUUGUCGGGUAAGUUCCGACCUGCACGAAUGGCGUAAUGAUGGCCAGGCUGUCUCCACCCGAGACUCAGUGAAAUUGAACUCGCUGUGAAGAUGCAGUGUACCCGCGGCAAGACGGAAAGACCCCGUGAACCUUUACUAUAGCUUGACACUGAACAUUGAGCCUUGAUGUGUAGGAUAGGUGGGAGGCUUUGAAGCGUGGACGCCAGUCUGCGUGGAGCCAACCUUGAAAUACCACCCUUUAAUGUUUGAUGUUCUAACGUUGGCCCCUUACCGGGGUUGCGGACAGUGUCUGGUGGGUAGUUUGACUGGGGCGGUCUCCUCCCAAAGCGUAACGGAGGAGCACGAAGGUUAGCUAAUCCUGGUCGGACAUCAGGAGGUUAGUGCAAUGGCAUAAGCUAGCUUGACUGCGAGCGUGACGGCGCGAGCAGGUGCGAAAGCAGGUCAUAGUGAUCCGGUGGUUCUGAAUGGAAGGGCCAUCGCUCAACGGAUAAAAGGUACUCCGGGGAUAACAGGCUGAUACCGCCCAAGAGUUCAUAUCGACGGCGGUGUUUGGCACCUCGAUGUCGGCUCAUCACAUCCUGGGGCUGAAGUAGGUCCCAAGGGUAUGGCUGUUCGCCAUUUAAAGUGGUACGCGAGCUGGGUUUAGAACGUCGUGAGACAGUUCGGUCCCUAUCUGCCGUGGGCGCUGGAGAAUUGAGGGGGGCUGCUCCUAGUACGAGAGGACCGGAGUGGACGCAUCACUGGUGUUCGGGUUGUCAUGCCAAUGGCACUGCCCGGUAGCUAAAUGCGGAAGAGAUAAGUGCUGAAAGCAUCUAAGCACGAAACUUGCCCCGAGAUGAGUUCUCCCUGAGACUUUAAGUCUCCUGAAGGAACGUUAAAGACGAUGACGUUGAUAGGCCGGGUGUGUAAGCGCAGCGAUGCGUUGAGCUAACCGGUACUAAUGAACCGUGAGGCUUAACCUU
This 2900-nucleotide ribosomal RNA is filed under the name Klebsiella pneumoniae MGH 36. Its description in RNAcentral is "bacterial LSU rRNA". It matches the Rfam family "Bacterial large subunit ribosomal RNA". Lineage: Bacteria; Pseudomonadati; Pseudomonadota; Gammaproteobacteria; Enterobacterales; Enterobacteriaceae. The record is from RNAcentral.